Molecule: ribosomal RNA, 429 nt
Filed under: Acidobacteriota bacterium
Lineage: Bacteria; Pseudomonadati; Acidobacteriota
Description: Acidobacteria bacterium partial 16S ribosomal RNA
Rfam family: Bacterial small subunit ribosomal RNA
Source: RNAcentral
UGGGGAAUUUUGGACAAUGGGGGAAACCCUGAUCCAGCCAUCCCGCGUGUGCGAUGAAGGCCUUCGGGUUGUAAAGCACUUUUGGCAGGAAAGAAACGUCAUGGGUUAAUACCCCGUGAAACUGACGGUACCUGCAGAAUAAGCACCGGCUAACUACGUGCCAGCAGCCGCGGUAAUACGUGGGGUGCAAGCGUUAAUCGGAAUUACUGGGCGUAAAGCGUGCGCAGGCGGUUCGGAAAGAAAGAUGUGAAAUCCCAGAGCUCAACUUUGGAACUGCAUUUUUAACUACCGGGCUAGAGUGUGUCAGAGGGAGGUGGAAUUCCGCGUGUAGCAGUGAAAUGCGUAGAUAUGCGGAGGAACACCGAUGGCGAAGGCAGCCUCCUGGGAUAACACUGACGCUCAUGCACGAAAGCGUGGGGAGCAAACAGG